CACUAAUAUCGAAUUAUUAACUUGCCCAUAUCGAAUCGAAUUUCUUCCCAGCUAUAAACAGCUGCAGUUUUAGUAUCGAAUAAGGUUCGAAAGCGAUCAGAUACCGCCCUAGUUCUAACUAUAAACGAUACCAGCCAGCGAUCCGACUGUUUUCCUCAAAUGACACGCCGGGCAGCUUCUGGGAAACCGAAGCUUUUGGGUUCCGGGGAAAGUAUGGUUGCAAAGCUGAAACUUAAAGGAAUUGACGGAAGGGCAUCCCACGCAAAAAAGCCUCUCGAUGCCCACGAAGGCUCACCUACCGGCGCUGAUGCCCUGUAGGACGUAGUGAGUUUUGAACCGAAAGCAAGAGAUAAAAU
RNAcentral lists this non-coding RNA (356 nucleotides) under Stegodyphus mimosarum. RNAcentral describes it as "Microsporidia small subunit ribosomal RNA". It matches the Rfam family "Eukaryotic small subunit ribosomal RNA", at positions 802 to 1544 of the family's 1831-position model. The record is from Rfam by way of RNAcentral. Lineage: Eukaryota; Metazoa; Arthropoda; Arachnida; Araneae; Eresidae.